GUACCCGCCUCCUAUGGAAUCCUCCUCAGCCAACCCUACAUGGUACUGUAUAAAAUUUCUGCUUUAAUUCAAUCUUUGGCAAUUACAAUUUCUCUAGCUCGAGUAUGCAGCAUUAUGUAAUUAUAUUUGGGUUAUACAGCAGCAGUAGGUAAUUGUAAUUUCUAUACCUCACCUGAUUCAGCAUGUGUACGUGUUGAAGCAGAGAGACUCUGAAGUAUUAGCCUGAAUUUCUGUAGCAUUAGACAUUACAAUUCUUCAGGUUUUUGCUUGCUGAAUCGAACUAGUGUAGCUUUUCCAGUGAUCAAAUGCUCACGUUUAUAAUUUUUGUCAGCUAGUUAUUCAAUCCACAUAGACUGAACCAAAAAUACUUUAUACAUUCAGCAACCAUGUAGAGUGCAUUUUUGUUUGUACAUUUUUCUUGCAAUGAUUAGAACAGACAAAAGUUUCUAAUAGUAAGCUCUCAUCGGCUACACUACAUUUAAAUGGAGUUGUACUAUGCUUUUUAGCUUCUGGUCUGAUUUGUACUACAGUACAUUUAAAUGGAGUUGUACUAUGCUUCUUAAUUCCGAUAUUUACAUAAUAACAGGAGGCCGAUGUAUACCUCUGCACCUGAAGGCCUACUAAGUUUUGGACAAUUACCGCCCAUGAAUCUUUAUAAUUUUCAACCUCAGACAAUGCACCAUCAUGAACAGGGACACCAAAAUAUGGAGAAUUUGCACUUUGUUGGUGCUUCCCCACAUGAUCCCUUUUCAACACCACCGCCACCACCGCACUCUUGAUUUGAACUAUGAAGCCGGCUCAUCGAUUGUCCUUCCUUCGGUAUUUACUCAUGGUGACAUACCAGAAUUUGCCGAGGUACUUGAAAGAGAUGCUAGAGUUCGUGAUCGUCCGACGCAUAAGGCUCUUAAAAAUGAUCUGAUUGAGCAUAUAUGGAGAAAGUUUGGGCGAGAAUAGAUUACAUUCAAGUCUUGAUGUAUUGCUAAAUAUGUUUUAUAUAUUUUAAUUAUAUUAAAUUCAUACUAUAUUAUUUAUUAUGAUCCAAGUUUGGCGUCCUCUUAUAUAUACAUGGAUAUAGGAAAACACAAUUUUGUGGUACAUGCCAUAUAUAGAUCACAAAGUUGAAGUACUAUUAUAGAUCCCACAAAAUCAAUAAAUAAACCCCCUAAGUUCCCAUCCAUUAUGGAGGUAGUAACAUAGACUAGUAACAUGCUUACGUGGCAUAUAUGUUACUACUCUAUGUUCCUCCCCUGUGACUAGCCUUACACGUCGCACGCACCGGGCAGGCGGCCAC
This 1291-nucleotide long non-coding RNA is filed under the name Hordeum vulgare. Its description in RNAcentral is "long non-coding RNA (HVUL_LNC005504)". Lineage: Eukaryota; Viridiplantae; Streptophyta; Magnoliopsida; Poales; Poaceae. The record is from RNAcentral.